Molecule: non-coding RNA, 179 nt
Filed under: Alicyclobacillus acidoterrestris
Lineage: Bacteria; Bacillati; Bacillota; Bacilli; Caryophanales; Alicyclobacillaceae
Also listed under: 1 other name
Description: 6S RNA
Rfam family: 6S / SsrS RNA
About the family: E. coli 6S RNA was the first non coding RNA to be sequenced, but its function was unknown until recently. It consists of 184 nucleotides that fold into an extended hairpin structure with a large single-stranded internal bulge. The 6S RNA specifically associates with RNA polymerase holoenzyme containing the sigma70 specificity factor.
Source: RNAcentral
CGUCUCCUGUGAUGUUGGUGAAGUGUUAUUUGUUUUUAACCAAUGCACAUCACACGGGAAUCCUAAUAUUAUCGUUGGAACAAAUGCCAUCAUGGAGUGGACUUGCGAGAACGGUAUGCGGAUACCCACCUGCCAGGAGCAGGUUAAAACUGUGGGCUUCACGGCAAAACGGGGAGUUG